GUUUUGGCCAAAUCCAACAAUACCUUCUAGGGUGUUGCUCCCUCUACCUCCCUGUUUUCUCCUCCCACCUCCCCAAUUUUUUUCAAUUUUCUCUUAUUACAAAAAUAACCUUUUUCUUUAUCUUUUUUACCCUUUUUAAUACUUUGCAUCUCCCCUCCCCCAGCCGCACCUCCUCACUUUACUUUUACUCUCUUCUUCCAGCUCCACCUCCCCCUCCCC
This 219-nucleotide long non-coding RNA is filed under the name Vigna radiata. RNAcentral's name for it is "long non-coding RNA (VRAD_LNC016338)". The record is from RNAcentral. Lineage: Eukaryota; Viridiplantae; Streptophyta; Magnoliopsida; Fabales; Fabaceae.